RNAcentral lists this ribosomal RNA (634 nucleotides) under Rhinolophus affinis (intermediate horseshoe bat). RNAcentral's name for it is "partial 12S ribosomal RNA". It matches the Rfam family "Bacterial small subunit ribosomal RNA", at positions 9 to 1022 of the family's 1533-position model. The record is from RNAcentral. Lineage: Eukaryota; Metazoa; Chordata; Mammalia; Chiroptera; Rhinolophidae.
CAUAGGCAUGGUCCUGGCCUCUCUGUUGGUUUUAGGUAAAACUACACAUGCAAGUAUCCGCACCCCAGUGAGAAUGCCCUCUAAAUCACACCUGAUUAAAAGGAGCGGGCAUCAAGCACACUACAAAGUAGCUCAUGACGCCUUGCUUAACCACGCCCCCACGGGAAACAGCAGUGAUAAAAAUUAAGCCAUGAACGAAAGUUCGACUAAGUUAUACCUACUCCUUAGGGUUGGUAAAUUUCGUGCCAGCCACCGCGGUCACACGAUUAACCCAAAUUAACAGAAACACGGCGUAAAGCGUGUUUAAGAAUACAAAAAAAAAUAAAGUUAAAUUCUAGCUAAACUGUAAAAAGCCAUAGCUAAAAUAAAAAUAGACUACGAAAGUGACUUUACAAAUUCUGAAUACACGAUAGCUAAGACCCAAACUGGGAUUAGAUACCCCACUAUGCUUAGCCCUAAACCUAAACAAUCGACACAACAACAUUAUUCGCCAGAGUAUACUAGCAACAGCUUAAAACUCAAAGGACUUGGCGGUGCUUCAUACCCCUCUUGAGGAGCCUGUCCUAUAAUCGAUAAACCCCAAUAGACCUCCACCAGCUCUUGCCAAUUCAGCCUAUAUACCGCCUCCUCAGCA